This 253-nucleotide ribosomal RNA is filed under the name uncultured bacterium. RNAcentral's name for it is "partial 16S ribosomal RNA". It matches the Rfam family "Bacterial small subunit ribosomal RNA", at positions 524 to 776 of the family's 1533-position model. The record is from RNAcentral.
UACGGAGGGAGCUAGCGUUGUUCGGAAUUACUGGGCGUAAAGCGCACGUAGGCGGCUUUGUAAGUUAGAGGUGAAAGCCCGGGGCUCAACUCCGGAACUGCCUUUAAGACUGCAUCGCUUGAAUCCAGGAGAGGUGAGUGGAAUUCCGAGUGUAGAGGUGAAAUUCGUAGAUAUCGAGAGGAACACCUGCGGCGAAGGCGGGUUGCUGGGCUGACACUGACGCUGAUGCGCGAAAGCGUGGGGAGCAAACAGG